This 87-nucleotide non-coding RNA is filed under the name Pseudomonas arsenicoxydans. Lineage: Bacteria; Pseudomonadati; Pseudomonadota; Gammaproteobacteria; Pseudomonadales; Pseudomonadaceae. The record is from RNAcentral.
UGCAAUGCUCUGCUGUGUGCCGGCGGACUUCGGUCCGGCCGGGUGUCCAUAACCGGUCUUCUCACCUCGCACAUAGCUGCCACCUCU